RNAcentral lists this long non-coding RNA (203 nucleotides) under Phaseolus vulgaris (common bean). RNAcentral's name for it is "long non-coding RNA (PVUL_LNC001583)". The record is from RNAcentral. Lineage: Eukaryota; Viridiplantae; Streptophyta; Magnoliopsida; Fabales; Fabaceae.
CCUUCUUCUUCUGUCGGUCGUUCCUCUUCCUCUACCUCUUUUUCCUGUUCUUCUUCUUCUUCUACCACCGACUCCUUGUCGGUUAGGGUGGCCGACGUGCCACUUUAGGUAGAGGCUGUUAGGGGGGAUGAUCCGGUCAAUGCUGUUGACCGGUCGGACUCUCCCCCGACGGCCACCUAAGGUGGUUAAGAUCUCGUCCAACU